This 73-nucleotide transfer RNA is filed under the name Candidatus Dojkabacteria bacterium. RNAcentral's name for it is "tRNA-Arg". It matches the Rfam family "tRNA". From Rfam's summary of the family: Transfer RNA (tRNA) molecules are approximately 80 nucleotides in length. Their secondary structure includes four short double-helical elements and three loops (D, anti-codon, and T loops). The record is from RNAcentral.
GUGCCCGUAGCUUAAUGGAUAGAGCACUUCUUUGCGGAAGAAGAGGUUGGAGGUUCGAAUCCUCUCGGGCGCA